GUAUAUAGUUUAUAGGCACAAGGCCCAAUGAUACAUUCUAGUACAUUUUUUGGGGUAUGUAAAAACAUAGACCUGGAGAUACAAGGAAAGCUGGCAUUGACGCACAGCAUUCCUCCCGACCGAGUUACCUCGGAAAGUAUUAUAUCCAGGUCUACAAAAAGUGCACAGGUGGAAAGAUAAAGAUGACGGGUGUGCACAUGCCCUCGAGAGGACCAGCUACAACCACAUCAGGUUUAUUCAAUAAUGAUCCUUCCGCAGGUUCACCUACGGAAA
RNAcentral lists this unclassified non-coding RNA (273 nucleotides) under uncultured fungus. RNAcentral's name for it is "sequence contains ITS1". The record is from RNAcentral. Lineage: Eukaryota; Fungi.